GAUGAACGCUGGCGGCGUGCCUAAUACAUGCAAGUCGAGCGAACGGACGAGAAGCUUGCUUCUCUGAUGUUAGCGGCGGACGGGUGAGUAACACGUGGAUAACCUACCUAUAAGACUGGGAUAACUUCGGGAAACCGGAGCUAAUACCGGAUAAUAUUUUGAACCGCAUGGUUCAAAAGUGAAAGACGGUUUUGCUGUCACUUAUAGAUGGAUCCGGGCUGCAUUAGCUAGUUGGUAAGGUAACGGCUUACCAAGGCAACGAUGCAUAGCCGACCUGAGAGGGUGAUCGGCCACACUGGAACUGAGACACGGUCCAGACUCCUACGGGAGGCAGCAGUAGGGAAUCUUCCGCAAUGGGCGAAAGCCUGACGGAGCAACGCCGCGUGAGUGAUGAAGGUCUUCGGAUCGUAAAACUCUGUUAUUAGGGAAGAACAUAUGUGUAAGUAACUGUGCACAUCUUGACGGUACCUAAUCAGAAAGCCACGGCUAACUACGUG
RNAcentral lists this ribosomal RNA (497 nucleotides) under uncultured bacterium. Its description in RNAcentral is "partial 16S ribosomal RNA". It matches the Rfam family "Bacterial small subunit ribosomal RNA", at positions 28 to 507 of the family's 1533-position model. The record is from RNAcentral.